RNAcentral lists this ribosomal RNA (496 nucleotides) under uncultured Glomus. RNAcentral describes it as "SSU rRNA". It matches the Rfam family "Eukaryotic small subunit ribosomal RNA", at positions 569 to 1071 of the family's 1831-position model. The record is from RNAcentral. Lineage: Eukaryota; Fungi; Glomeromycota; Glomeromycetes; Glomerales; Glomeraceae.
AGCAGCCGCGGUAAUUCCAGCUCCAAUAGCGUAUAUUAAAGUUGUUGCAGUUAAAAAGCUCGUAGUUGAAUUUCGGGAUCAAGGAAUCGGUCAUGCCUCGGUAUGUACUGGUUUUAUUGGUUCUCACCUUCUAAAGAACCAUAAUGUCAUUUAUUUGAUGUUAUGGGGAAUUAGGACUGUUACCUUGAAAAAUUAGAGUGUUUAAAGCAAACUCACGCUUGAAUACAUUAGCAUGGAAUAAUGAAAUAGGACGUUUGAUUCUAUUUUGUUGGUUUCUAGGAUCGACGUAAUGAUUAAUAGGGAUAGUUGGGGGCAUUAGUAUUCAAUUGUCAGAGGUGAAAUUCUUGGAUUUAUUGAAGACUAACUACUGCGAAAGCAUUUGCCAAGGAUGUUUUCAUUAAUCAAGAACGAAAGUUAGGGGAUCGAAGACGAUCAGAUACCGUCGUAGUCUUAACCAUAAACUAUGCCGACUGGGGAUCGGAUGAUGUUAAUUUUU